CUUCGCCCUCUUUUUUUCAAAAACAUGUCUUUUUGAUGAUAAUUUAAAGUCGAAUCUGCCCACUGAUUAAUAAUUAAAGGGCUGCAGUAUAUUGACUGUACAAAGGUAGCAUAAUAAUUAGUCUUUUAAUUGAAGACUUGUAUGAAAGAUUUGAUGAGAUAUAAACUGUCUCUUUUUUAAAAUUAAAAUUUAAUUUUUUAGUAAAAAAGCUAAAAUAAAUUUAAAAGACGAGAAGACCCUAUAGAGUUUUAUAAUUGAAUUAUUUAAAAAUUUAUUUUUAAUUUAAAAAAUAAUUAGUUUAAUUAUUUUAUUGGGGUGAUAAAAAAAUUAAAAUAACUUUUUUUUUAUUUUAAACAUUAAUUAAUGAAUAAUUGAUCCAUAAUUUAUGAUUAUAAGAAAAAAUUACCUUAGGGAUAACAGCGUAAUUUUUUUUUUUAGUUCUUAUAAGAAAAAAAGUUUGCGACCUCGAUGUUGGAUUAAGAUAAAAUUUAAAUGCAGAAGUUUAAAGUUUUGAUCUG
RNAcentral lists this ribosomal RNA (518 nucleotides) under Pelopidas mathias (small branded swift). Its description in RNAcentral is "partial 16S ribosomal RNA". Lineage: Eukaryota; Metazoa; Arthropoda; Insecta; Lepidoptera; Hesperiidae. The record is from RNAcentral.